RNAcentral lists this ribosomal RNA (510 nucleotides) under uncultured bacterium. Its description in RNAcentral is "bacterial SSU rRNA". It matches the Rfam family "Bacterial small subunit ribosomal RNA", at positions 29 to 521 of the family's 1533-position model. The record is from RNAcentral.
AACGAACGCUGGCGGCAGGCCUCAUACAUGCAAGUCGAGCGGACGGACCCCUUCGGGGGCGAGUUAGCGGCGAACGGGUGAGUAACAGGUGGAUGAUCUGCCUCCCGGUGGGGGAUAACGGCUGGAAACGGCCGCUAAUACCGCAUUCGGUUGAUGCGUUGCGGCGCAUCAAAGAAAGGCGCUUCACGGCGCUGCCGGGAGAUGAGUCCGCCCCCCCAUUAGUCUAGUUGGCGGGAUAACAGCCCACCAAGGCUUCGAUGGGUAGCCGAACUGAGAGGUUGAUCGGCCACACUGGAACUGAGACACGGUCCAGACACCUACGGGUGGCAGCAGUAGGGAAUAUUGGGCAAUGGGCGAAAGCCUGACCCAGCCAUGCCGCGUGAGUGACGAAGGUCCUAUGGAUUGUAAAGCUCUUUUCUGAGGAAAGAACAUCCGGGGUAGGAAAUGACCCCGGCUUGACGGUACCUCACGGAAUAAGGAACGGCUAAACUCCGUGCCAGCAGCCGCGGU